Zalophus californianus (California sea lion) is the source of this 1021-nucleotide long non-coding RNA. RefSeq lists it as uncharacterized. The transcript is spliced from 3 exons. The record is from RefSeq and is a predicted model, not a curated record. NCBI's taxonomy places the organism in Eukaryota, Metazoa, Chordata, Mammalia, Carnivora, Otariidae.
CAUUCUGUGUGAGGAGUUUGGGGAGACACAUCCUUGGUGAAUGCUGUGAUUCAGUGCCUCGUCACUCCACGCCAAAGCCCAGCACGGCCCAGCUCGGCCUUCCUAAACACGCAUGAUCAUAAAGAUCCGAGGAGCAGUCAACAAAAACUUGGAACCUGUUCAACAUUGUUUAUGCAUCUUUCAUUGUGGGCCAGACCCUGCACUAGGUGUUGUCCAAAGUGAUCCCCUCUACCACCCAAACCUCUGUGGGGCCUGAGAAAGGGCGUGUGGAGGAGACAAGAUGAACACAAGCUGAGAGACAAUGCCGCAGCUGCUGCUAAUACCGUCGAGAGUGGAGACUCACACUGACUGGGCACCUUCUAUCUGUUAUCUUGUUUGCUCCUAGUGACAAAGUUUGAGAGCUUUAUGAAGGUCUUGAAGAAUACCCGAAAUAUGUCUGGGGAGCAUAGAAGCGUAAGAAAGAAGUCAGACAAGAAUAGGCCACAAUACGGUGUCUGCAAACAAGGCGAAGCCAAACCCGGAUGAAGGUGGGAGCUUGGCAUUCUUCAGAGGUGCUCCUCAGACUGCCUUCAGGGAGUGCUGGGCGCAGGAACCUUCACGCUUAGGACCCUCUCUCCCAUCACAUGCAUUUCUCAAGUUCAUACUCAGAGCCUGGAAGAUCUGAUUCAAAUCUGGUUCUGAGUUAACUGUGUGCUUUUGGACAAAUGAUCUAGGGCUUCUGAGCCUAAGUAUCCUUAUCUUCAAAAGAGGGUAAUAAAAUCCGCCUCCUUAUAUUGUUUUGAGGAAUAAAUGAGAAGACAAAUGCAGAAUACUUAGUGCUGUGGCCUGAAUGUUUGUGUCCCCGUGCAACUCAUAUGUUGAAACCCUGACCCCCAAGGUGAGAGCAGGUGAGGCCCUGGGAGGUGAAUAGGUCAUGAGGGUGGAGCCCUCAGGGAUGGGAUCAGUGCCCUUAUGGAAGAGGCCCCAGGGAGUGUCUCGCCCCUUCCCUGCCUCCCAAACUGUAAGAAAUAAAUUUCUGUGG